AAUAGAUACCCAGGUAGUCCACGCCCUAAACGAUGCAUAUUUGGUGUGGGCAGUUCAGUCUGUCCGUGCCGGAGCUAACGCGUUAAAUAUGCCGCCUGGGGAGUACAGUCGCAAGGCUGAAACUCAAAGGAAUUGACGGGGGCCCGCACAAGCGGUGGAGCAUGUGGUUCAAUUCGACGCAACGCGAAGAACCUUACCUGGGCUCGAACGGCUGGUCAACGGAGGUGGAAACAUCUCUACCCCGCAAGGGGGUCCAGUCGAGGUGCUGCAUGGCUGUCGUCAGCUCGUGUCGUGAGAUGUUGGGUUAAGUCCCGCAACGAGCGCAACCCUUGUCCUGUGUUGCCAUCAUUCAGUUGGGAACUCGCAGGAGACCGCCAGGGAUAACCUGGAGGAAGGUGGGGAUGACGUCAAGUCCCCAUGGCCUUUAUGUCCAGGGCUACACACGUGCUACAAUGGACGGUACAAAGCGCAGCAAACCCGCGAGGGGAGCCAAUCGCAAAAAACCGUUCUCAGUUCGGAUUGCAGG
This 526-nucleotide ribosomal RNA is filed under the name uncultured bacterium. RNAcentral's name for it is "bacterial SSU rRNA". It matches the Rfam family "Bacterial small subunit ribosomal RNA", at positions 777 to 1304 of the family's 1533-position model. The record is from RNAcentral.